UUCUCUUGACAUCAACUAAACCAAUCAACAAAGAAACAAGAAACCAACAAACACAAAGGAAAGUGCGCAUGCUCCGUUUAUUGGCUUGAAAUUAAGAGACUAGCAGAUAUCCGGGUGAAUUGAAUGAGCAGGAAGGCUUAAUGCUAAGCCGUGUGUCUGCAGUCCUAACAACUGGCAACGAGAAUGUGUCUCCCUCGGGUCAGCGCUUUACUAACUUCCGAUGAGAACUUGACAGAUUUGGGCCCCAAGUGAGACAAGUGGAAACGCAACUUUGAGUAUUACAUUAUAGGCAAUGGAAUAACAGGUGCGAAACAAAAACACUGUUCCCUACUGCAUUGUACAGGACCACAUGUCCAAGACCUUACAUACCAGAAAUAGGAAGUGAAACGGAUUAUGAGGAUGCCACCCUGGCGCUCACCACAUAUUUCAAACCCAUGGUUAACAAGUUCUAUGGAAGAUACAAAUUCCGACAAUUAGAGCAAGAAUCCAAUGAAUCUAUCGACCAGUUUGUAACCAAGUUACGACAACAAGCUGAGAGGUGUCCUCUGCUGAUGUUGAUCAAAACAUUUUAAGUCAACUUAUAGAGAGGUGCAGAAGUGCCAAGGUGCGCUUGCAGGUUUUAGAAGAAGGUGGCUCACGUUACAGUAGUUAAAGCUCUACAGCUAGGUUGUACUGUAGAGUCAGUCAGUUCCAGCACAAAGAUAUGUCAGGUUCAUCAACGAUCAACUAUGCAAAUCCCAUCUCCAGAGGCAGACCAUGCACGCAUACAGAGUUGGAGUCCAGAGUCAUUUUGCUACACAGUUUAAGACAAAGAGUACGGGACAAGCAUCUGAAAGUCAAUUUUGCUGCAGUUGAUGUAGUCCGCAGCAAAUAUCCUGAGGACAGUGCUCACAACUUAUCAGAUGAAUGUGUGUUUGCCGUGGACCAAGCAACAGCAAUGGUGGAAGUGACUACUGGUAGAGUGCUAAUCGGUGUUUAGAAGGAACUAAGUCAAUAUGAUGAAGAAGACUAAUUACCACAGAAUAUCUGGAUGAAAAGAUUGCAGAAGCAUUGCAAAAUGCGAGGGACUACAACUUUGCGCUCACUCGAUCAGGUGAAGUGUUGACUGCAGAACCAAGAAAACACGACUUAUUGCCAGUACAAGGAUGGUAAUAUUGAUGUUUUGAUUACUAAUUUAUUCUGUAUCUAGACUUGUGUGAUCAGUAGCUAUAACAUUUAUAUUUACAUUUUGUGAUGUUGAAAUGAGCAAUUGUAGUGCAUAUUGCAUUUUGUGUUAUCUAAAUACCUCAAAUGCUGUUCCUUUGCUGUUCUA
This is a long non-coding RNA of Corticium candelabrum, 1312 nucleotides long. RefSeq lists it as uncharacterized. The record is from RefSeq and is a predicted model, not a curated record. Lineage: Eukaryota; Metazoa; Porifera; Homoscleromorpha; Homosclerophorida; Plakinidae. The transcript has 2 exons.